GAGGGUAGAGCUCAGCAGUAGAGCGCAUGCCUAGCAUGCAUGAGGUCCUGGGUUCAACCCCCAGUACCUCCA
Molecule: transfer RNA, 72 nt
Filed under: Camelus bactrianus (Bactrian camel)
Lineage: Eukaryota; Metazoa; Chordata; Mammalia; Artiodactyla; Camelidae
Also listed under: 2 other names
Rfam family: tRNA
About the family: Transfer RNA (tRNA) molecules are approximately 80 nucleotides in length. Their secondary structure includes four short double-helical elements and three loops (D, anti-codon, and T loops).
Source: Rfam by way of RNAcentral